CAAGUAAACAUAAAGGCAUAGUAUACAAUAGGCCUGUGUUUUUGUGCAUAUUUG
Molecule: microRNA precursor, 54 nt
Organism: Gallus gallus (chicken)
Lineage: Eukaryota; Metazoa; Chordata; Aves; Galliformes; Phasianidae
Source: Ensembl